ACGUGAGAAUUUGCCUUUAGGAGGGGGACAACAGUGGGAAACCGCUGCUAAUACCCCAUAUGCUUUCGAGUAAAAUGGAUUUAUCCGCCUAGAGAGAAGCUCGCGGCUGAUUAGCUUGUUGGUAAGGUAAUGGCUUACCAAGGCGACGAUCAGUAUCUGGUUUGAGAGGAUGAUCAGACACACUGGAACUGAGACACGGCCCAGACUCCUACGGGAGGCUGCAGCAGGGAAUAUUGCGCAAUGAGCGAAAGCUUGACGCAGCGACACCGCGUGUGGGAUGACGGUUCUAGGAUUGUAAAC
Molecule: ribosomal RNA, 300 nt
Filed under: uncultured bacterium
Lineage: Bacteria
Description: bacterial SSU rRNA
Rfam family: Bacterial small subunit ribosomal RNA
Source: RNAcentral